This 307-nucleotide unclassified non-coding RNA is filed under the name plant metagenome. Its description in RNAcentral is "partial contains 5.8S ribosomal RNA, internal transcribed spacer 2, and large subunit ribosomal RNA". The stretch from base 1 to 105 matches the Rfam family "5.8S ribosomal RNA", at positions 50 to 154 of the family's 154-position model. The record is from RNAcentral.
GAAAUGCGAUAAGUAAUGUGAAUUGCAGAAUUCAGUGAAUCAUCGAAUCUUUGAACGCACAUUGCGCCCGCCAGCACUCUGGCGGGCAUGCCUGUUCGAGCGUCAUUUCAACCCUCAGAACCCCUUGCGGGAUCUGGCGUUGGGGAUUGGCAUCCAGCCAGCCCCGAAAUCUAGUGGCGGUCCCUCCGCGACCUCCCCUGUGCAGUAGCGAUACCUCGCAGCGGGACAGCGGUCUGACCACGCCAUAAAACCCCCAACUUCUCAAGGUUGACCUCGAAUCAGGUAGGAAUACCCACUGAACUUAAGC